This 858-nucleotide ribosomal RNA is filed under the name uncultured bacterium. Its description in RNAcentral is "bacterial SSU rRNA". It matches the Rfam family "Bacterial small subunit ribosomal RNA", at positions 42 to 889 of the family's 1533-position model. The record is from RNAcentral.
GCGUGGAUAAGACAUGCAAGUCGAACGGGAUCAUUGGAGUAGCAAUACAACGAUGGUCUAGUGGCGAACGGGUGCGUAACACGUGGAUACAUUCCGGGAAGCGGGGGAUAGCCCAGGGAAACUUGGAUUAAUACCGCAUGUGAUCGAGAGAUCAAAGACGGGGACCGCAAGGCCUGUCACUUCCCGAUUGGUCCGCGGCCUAUCAGCUAGUUGGCGGGGUAAAGGCCCACCAAGGCUACGACGGGUAGCUGGUCUUAGAGGACGACCAGCCACACUGGAACUGAGACUCGGUCCAGACACCUACGGGUGGCAGCAGUCGAGAAUCUUUCACAAUGGGGGCAACCCUGAUGGAGCGACGCCGCGUGGAGGAUAAGGUCUUCGGAUUGUAAACUCCUGUCAUGUGUGAACAAGGUUGCAGGGAUAAUACCUUUGCAAAUUGAUGGUAACACAAGAGGAAGAGACGGCUAACUCUGUGCCAGCAGCCGCGGUAAUACAGAGGUCUCAAGCGUUGUUCGGAAUCACUGGGCGUAAAGGGUGCGUAGGUGGCGUGGUAAGUCAGAUGUGAAAGCCCGGGGCUCAACCUCGGAACAGCAUCCGAUACUGCCGUGCUAGAGUACUGAAGAGGUGACUAGAAUUCUCGGUGUAGCAGUGAAAUGCGUAGAUAUCGAGAGGAAUACCAAAGGCGAAGGCAGGUCACUGGGCAGUUACUGACACUGAGGCACGAAGGCCAGGGGAGCAGGCGGGAUUAGAUACCCCGGUAGUCCUGGCAGUAAACGGUGCACGUUUGGUGUGGGUGCAAUCGACCGCGUCCGCGCCGGAGCUAACGCGUUAAACGUGCCGCCUGGGAAGUACGGUCGC